UAAACCUCUUGUCAAAGACAUGCAUCAAAAGGGUAUCAAAUUCACCCAUAAUACCUCAUACAUUUAGAGCAUUCAAAUUAAAGGCAUAAAGAUGAUGGAUAUAGGGCAAACCUAAUUGGAGAGCUUGAUUGAAAUUGAGUUGCACCCGUGAGGUUUACAAAACAAUCUUUAGGGUUUAUGUGAGGCAGAGGUGAUUCUGUGCAGUUGAGUUCCCUUCAGGGUUUGGAGGCUGCUCUGAACUCUGUUAGCUCUUCUCUCACUAUCUUUUUCCUCAGGGUAAUAGGAAUAGAAUCCAUAUUUGUUUCACUGAAACUCUAGUAUUUAUAGCCUAAUAUUGGUAGCUUAGUGGGCUUUUGAGAGAGGUCCAAGUCUGAGAUUUUUUUCUUUUAUUUAUUUAUUUAUUAUUAUUAUUAUUUAUUUAUUUAUUUUUCAUUUUUUU
Molecule: long non-coding RNA, 439 nt
Filed under: Lathyrus oleraceus (garden pea)
Lineage: Eukaryota; Viridiplantae; Streptophyta; Magnoliopsida; Fabales; Fabaceae
Description: Pisum sativum (pea) long non-coding RNA (PSAT_LNC017402)
Source: RNAcentral